This is a non-coding RNA of Phalacrocorax carbo (great cormorant), 2306 nucleotides long. The record is from the annotation of a RefSeq genome assembly. NCBI's taxonomy places the organism in Eukaryota, Metazoa, Chordata, Aves, Suliformes, Phalacrocoracidae.
GGGGCCGAGGCGGCGGGGCGGGCAGGAGCGGGCACCGGCGCGGCUCCGCUCGGCUCCUCUCCGGCUCCCGCCGGGCCCGUCGGCGCCGGCCGGCCCCGGCGCGGCAGGGCACGAUGGCGCCCGGGCUGGGGCCGUGGCUCCUGGCCUUGUGGCUGGCCGCGGGGCCGGCAGGGGUGUGGGCGCAGGUGAGGCUGCUGGAGUCCGGCGGAGGGCUGCGAGCGCCCGGGGGCUCCGUGCGCCUCUCCUGCCGCGGGUCCGGAUUCGACUUCGGGAGCUAUGAAGUGCUGUGGUACCGUCAGGCUCCCGGUGGCAGUCUCGAGUGGGUGUCCUACAUCAGCAAACCCUCGGGUACUACAAAGAAAUAUGGGACAUCAAUACAAGGUCGAGCCACGGCGUCCCGGGACAAUUCCCGGUCCGAGUCAUCUCUGUCCCUGGAUGCUCUGAACCCCCGGGACUCUGCCUGCUACUUCUGUGCCGUUCGCACGGAGACAGGAAAUCCAGCAGAGCUUUAACACAAACCCCCCACCAGGGUUGCUCUGGGCCUCGAAACUGGAAGGCAGCGGAGCCCCAUAGGCGUUAAGAUGUGCUCUCAGAGAGUCAUGUAGUUACAGCACAGAGCUUUCAAAUGUUUCUUUCUGAAAAGGAGAUUUUACCAGGUUCUGUUCACAAAGCUCUACCCCUUCUGCUUGCCUGCUUCCCCUGCCUGAUGCCAGUCCGCACUCCUUUCACUUGAAAUCUGCUUUGGCUUUGGAAGCACAUUUCGGUGUUUCCAUUGUUUCCCAGUAGUGGUGAUGGCCAGUCCUGGCCCAACUGGUGAGCUGUAUAAAUAGCCCUGCUCUGGUUUUGGUCAUGGCUGAGGUCGACUCAGUCCAGCCCACAGAGUUUUAGUCCCUGAGGAGCGAGCAGGGGAAAUGAGGAAAGUACAGAGGAGCAUUUGGGAGCUCAUUGGGAAACAGAGCAACUCUGUUGUUCUCUCCCGACUCUGAGAGUAUAACGGGAGCAGGAGCUUGUGAGCAUGUGUGAGCAUGGUAAGCACCAUUCACCCACUAGGCCCUCAGCACCAUGGGGGAGAGAAUCACAAGGACAACAGCAAGAAAACCCAAGAGUUGCGAUAAAGACAGUUUAAUAGGUAAAGCGAAGCUGCGUGCGCAGGCCAAGCAAAACAAGGAAUUAAUUUCCUACUUCCCAUCGGCAGGCAGGCGUUUAGCCCCUUCCAGGAAAGCAGGGCUUCAUCACACAUAACAGUUACCUGGGAGGAGAAAUGCCGUAAAUGUGAAUGCCUCCCCACUGCCGCCUUCUUUACCCAGCUUUUAUUGCGCUCAUGAUGAUAUCAGAAAGUAAAUGGAAUUUUCCACUAAGCAGUAACAAUGAACCAUGUGAGCUUGGCAAAUCAGAACUGGGCGGCCAGAGAAGGGAGUUGAGAGAUAGGGAAGGAUUUGUUUUACGACCAUAUCCCUGAAGAAGACCUGAGAGACUGAUAAAAGGGAACAUCCUGCCUCAGAAGACACUGAAAGCUGGGUGAUAAAGUCUAUAGUCAAGACGAGCACCUAACUGGGAUGUUGGUAAGAACUGAAACUAGGUGUCCUUUAGGUGAACUAUCUUCAUGAUAAUACUAAAAAUCACGCCCAUAGGCCAGAAAAACCCCCACUCAAAUAAGCCCCUUACCAUGCAUGCUCAGGGAGUAAAUUUAAAGGGAGCUGUACCUUUAAGAUGAAGUGAGAGAGAAGCUAACCAGUGAUCAUCUGGAGGGGCAGCGUGUUUGUGUGAAUAUUAGCUGUUACUGACACACUUAACUGUAUGGAUACCUUGUAGUUUCUUAUGCAGGGUGCUGGCUUUGUGGGUUACCACCUAGCACCCAUCUUUGCACAAAGUGAAUUGAAUAAAAUACCUCUGCGCUGUGUGUACUUUGGCAUUUUGCACACUAGACACAUGGACCCGCUUUUUGGGAUAACAGUUUUAGCGAUCCAGAUGGGGCUGCGCUGACAGCCUUGCCUGGAUCGUCUCGCUCUGCCCAAUGAUGGGAAGUGGACUGAUGUGACUCCAGCACGCACUGACCUUUUGAUCAGGGACUCCAUCGGCUCCGCUCCUGCAGUCAGGCAGUGGUUGACACAAUGGUGCAAUGCUUAUCAGAGGAGGUAUUUUAAUGGGAAAAGGUGGGUAGAGUGAGACCUUUUAAGGAAGCAAUAGGAGGUUAUUUUGUAGUUGCUCUGCAUAAGGCACUUCAGGAGAAUUAUGCAGAAGCAGCAUGGUUUCAUUUCUACACAUUGUAUUUGUGUGUGUACCACAGGGAAAAACCCUCAUUUUGC